AAGGUAGCGAAAUUCCUUGUCGGGUAAGUUCCGACCUGCACGAAUGGUGUAACGAUCUGGGCACUGUCUCAACCACGAGCUCGGUGAAAUUGUAGUAUCGGUGAAGAUGCCGGUUACCCGCAAUGGGACGAAAAGACCCCGUGAACCUUUACUAUAGCUUCGUAUUGGCUUUGGAUAAGUAAUGUGUAGGAUAGGUGGGAGACUUCGAUCAUGUGUCGCCAGGCAUGUGUGAGUCAUUGUUGAAAUACCACCCUUUACUUAUUUGAAGUCUAACGUCUAACGACGAACAGUGCGUGGUGGGUAGUUUGACUGGGGAGGUCGCCUCCAAAAG
This 331-nucleotide ribosomal RNA is filed under the name Extubocellulus spinifer. RNAcentral's name for it is "partial Bacterial large subunit ribosomal RNA". It matches the Rfam family "Bacterial large subunit ribosomal RNA", at positions 1953 to 2295 of the family's 2925-position model. Lineage: Eukaryota; Bacillariophyta; Thalassiosirophyceae; Cymatosirales; Cymatosiraceae. The record is from RNAcentral.